GAAAACAAACAGAACGACAACAACAACAAACUUUUAUUAUCUGCUGACAUAUUUAUGCAGCGUUCGUGUUGACCCAGUUUUGUCGUAGUGUUUUGCUGCUGUUGUAAUCUGCACCACCCCGACUCUCCAAUAUCGCGUUGCCAUUUUGCAGGUCAAGAGACCCUUCUAAAGGAGCAGUUCAUCCCCAUUCCAUCUGGAAAUAGCCGACCACCGUUACAUUAGCAGAACCAGUAAAUAACCCAGCCGGGGAGAGAGGAGUCUGAAGGUGAAACGGCACCAGCCCGAUUCCUGAAAAUCGCUAGCGUCGAUUUAAAGUCAGCUGGAACAGGCUCCAUUUCAUCGUACUCAAAAUGGAUGCAGGAGCCAGACCAGAAGGGCAAUGACAUUGAUUUCCAGUCUCUCAUUUUGGAGAGACCGAGGUGGCUGUCCAGCUCAGUCCAGUCUCAAUUCACUUUAUGAGAUAUCGUCUGUGCAGAAAACACAGGGGCCUCGCGGAUGAAAUGAGAUGACGAGGCAAAAUAAACGGGACCGUUUGCGAGCUGACGCAGGAAGACCGGACAAUGCUUUCAUUCCUUCCUUGCAGCUACGCAGGUCUCCCGAAUUGCCUUCAGCAGAGGUAAAUGGCUGAUUCACAGACAAGGUAAACAUGACUCGGCUUUAAAAAAAAAACAUUCACCCAAGGUCCUGUACGUGCGUUGCUUCAAGGCUGCCAAUCUAAUUCCCCAGACGGUGACAUAAAGGUGCACCUACCUAUGAUGGAUUUCUUGCCGGUCUUCAUUUCUUUCCCAGCACUAUGUGAGCUCUUUCCAGUGAAUCAGCAACGGUGGAGAAUCUGCCUGCUGCAGAACAUCCAGAUCCAGAUAUCUGUGACCGCAGCCUGCGUAUCCACGUACACCUCCCCUUCUGUAUCUCCCUCUUCCUUUCGAUGGCUCUCACUGCAGCGGAAAAGUCCUCGAUUUAAAGGCAAACAACUUUCCUCCGAGCACCACCCCUCCUUAUUUAUUCUUCUCCUUUACACCCUCCGCUUAGACCAUGUCGCUGAAACUAAAGAUUUGUGACGUGACACCUCUCACCUCAUCCAAAAGCCACUAUACUGGAUCAAAACAAGAAGAACAACAAAAGAAACGGGUGUCUGGUUACGGCUCCCGCGAGUGUGGGAGUCCCUUGGGGGACCCCCACCCAACCUCCCCUCGUCUCCAUGACAAGCGUUGCCGAGCGGACUGGACCAGACCAGCACCCACUACAGAUUUUUCUCGAAUACAAAGGGAGGCACAGUCAUGCUGGAACAGAAAAAGGGCCUUCCAUUGUCAUCGGAAGAAGGGGACUCAAGCUUCAGGGAUUCAGAGGUCGAAGGGGUGGGGGGCAUCCCUUUGAUUAACCCUUUUCAUGCACCAAUAAUGAUAACCUGUAACCUGAUAAGCUGUCCACUGUAGUAACCGCUGUCCCUGAAAGGGUUAAUUAAUCGAUUCAUAGGUUUUUGUCACACUUGAAAUCACUUGAGAUUGCACAUUUAUACUCUCGUUUGGCCUGCGCAGGAAAUGAAUGAAGUCCGUGAUGCACAAUGUCCCGGCCCUGCUGAUAAACUCCCACAUAGGAGUGACUCGCUUCCAUGCGCCAUUGACGAAUGUACCGUAAAGUUUCCACCUCGCAUAUGUUCAAGCAUCUCCUCUGCUCCCCAACCGAGUAAUCUAUCCAAGGCCACUGGGUGUUAAGGAGAACAAAGACUGCGUCUGCGCGCACGAGAGCGAGCAGCAACAUUCAAGAGGAGAAGGAAGUGGACAUCCAGCCCACAGCUCGUGUGACUCCACGGGCCAUUCGAAAGAACAACAGCUUUCCUGAUAUCAAAACCAUGGAGCCGCACGUGCCUUCAUCAUCACGUUCGCCCGAUGUCAUCACCCGAGUGGAUAUUCUGAGGAGAAUCAGAGACAGAGACGCGGGAUUUGAACAAGCUGCCGACGCGCCGUCGUGUGUCAGCGCUCUGCGACUGUUUUCCAUGACUGAAAAGGCGAAACGAUGGCCGACCAAGCUCACCCCUCCUGACUGACAUUUGGGGACUGGUGUCGAACUUGUUGGGGAAAAAAAUUGAAGGGUUGACGAGGUGCUGUAACCGCCUGCCAUGUUUGCAAGUGACCUGUACGACAUGUGUGACGAAUUUGGACGAAAAGCACAAGAGUUAGACAAUGGUGCAAAACUCCCAGCGGUGCAACAAAAGCUCUUUUGCUUGGAUGUGAAGUGCAAUACAGUGAAGUGAGAUGCAUAGAAAAGGUCUGUAAAUAUUUAAUUUCAGCUGUGAACGAGACUAUUUAAAUUAAAAAAGGUUUUAUUUUCAAUGAAA
RNA transcript from Hippocampus zosterae (dwarf seahorse), 2335 nucleotides. RefSeq lists it as uncharacterized. The record is from RefSeq and is a predicted model, not a curated record. NCBI's taxonomy places the organism in Eukaryota, Metazoa, Chordata, Actinopteri, Syngnathiformes, Syngnathidae. The transcript is spliced from 10 exons.